GACGAACGCUGGCGGCGUGCCUAAUACAUGCAAGUCGAACGAACCGCGACUAAGUGCUUGCACUAAGUCAAGGUGAGUGGCGAACGGGUGAGUAACACGUGGGUAACCUACCUCAUAGUGGGGGAUAACAGUCGGAAACGACUGCUAAUACCGCAUAGGACAUAGGAUCACAUGAUCCAGUGAGGAAAGGUGGCGCAAGCUAUCGCUAAGAGAUGGACCCGCGGUGCAUUAGCUAGUUGGUAGGGUAAAGGCCUACCAAGGCGAUGAUGCAUAGCCGACCUGAUAGGGUGAUCGGCCACAUUGGGACUGAGACACGGCCCAAACUCCUACGGGAGGCAGCAGUAGGGAAUCUUCCGCAAUGGACGCAAGUCUGACGGAGCAACGCCGCGUGAGUGAAGAAGGUCUUCGGAUCGUAAAGCUCUGUUGUUAGAGAAGAACAGCGCAUAGAGUAACUGCUAUGCGUGUGACGGUAUCUAACCAGAAAGCCACGGCUAACUACGUG
This 502-nucleotide ribosomal RNA is filed under the name uncultured bacterium. RNAcentral describes it as "partial 16S ribosomal RNA". It matches the Rfam family "Bacterial small subunit ribosomal RNA", at positions 28 to 507 of the family's 1533-position model. The record is from RNAcentral.